Molecule: ribosomal RNA, 433 nt
Filed under: uncultured bacterium
Lineage: Bacteria
Description: partial 16S ribosomal RNA
Rfam family: Bacterial small subunit ribosomal RNA
Source: RNAcentral
AACGAACGCUGGCGGCAUGCCUAACACAUGCAAGUCGAACGAGACCUUCGGGUCUAGUUGCGCACGGGUGCGUACCGCGUGGGAACCUGCCCUUAGGUUCGGAAUAACUCCCCGAAAGGGGUGCUAAUACCGGUUAAUGUCUUCGGACCAAAGAUUUAUGGCCUUUGGCUGGGCCCGCGUUGGAUUAGCUAGUUGGUAGGGUAAAAGCAUAGCAAGGCGUCGAUCCAUAGCUGGUCUGGGAGGAUGAUCAGCCACACUGGGACUGAGACACGGCCCAGACUCGUACGGGAAGGAGGAGUGGGGAAUAUUGGACAAUGGGGGAAGGCGUGAUCCAGCCAUGCGGGGUGAGUGAUGAAGGCCUUAGGGUUGUAAAGCUGUUUUAGCCGGGAUGAUAAUGACGGUACCGGGAGAAUAAGCACCGGCUAACUACGUG